ACCUGGCUGGCUCAGUGGGUGGAGUGGGUGACUCUUGAUCUCAGGGUUGUGAGUUCAAGUCCCACGUUGAGUG
This 73-nucleotide transfer RNA is filed under the name Ailuropoda melanoleuca (giant panda). It matches the Rfam family "tRNA". Rfam says of the family: Transfer RNA (tRNA) molecules are approximately 80 nucleotides in length. Their secondary structure includes four short double-helical elements and three loops (D, anti-codon, and T loops). Further hydrogen bonds mediate the characteristic L-shaped molecular structure. tRNAs have two regions of fundamental functional importance: the anti-codon, which is responsible for specific mRNA codon recognition, and the 3' end, to which the tRNAs corresponding amino acid is attached (by aminoacyl-tRNA synthetases). tRNAs cope with the degeneracy of the genetic code in two manners: having more than one tRNA (with a specific anti-codon) for a particular amino acid; and 'wobble' base-pairing, i.e. permitting non-standard base-pairing at the 3rd anti-codon position. The record is from Rfam by way of RNAcentral. Lineage: Eukaryota; Metazoa; Chordata; Mammalia; Carnivora; Ursidae.